GGAGUCGUGGCGCAAUGGCUAGCGUGUUUGGCUUCGAUUGCCCAAACAACCAAAAGGCUGCAGGUUCGAGUCCUGCCGACUUCG
This is a non-coding RNA of Roridomyces roridus, 84 nucleotides long. NCBI's taxonomy places the organism in Eukaryota, Fungi, Basidiomycota, Agaricomycetes, Agaricales, Mycenaceae. The record is from the annotation of a GenBank genome assembly.